UACGAAGGGUGGCAAGCGUUACUCGGAAUUACUGGGCGUAAGCGUGCGUAGGUGGUUGUUAAGUCUGUUGUGAAAGCCCCGGCUCAACCUGGGAAUGGCAAUGGAUACUGGCAGGCUAGAGUGCGGUAGAGGGUAGUGGAAUUCCGGUGUAGCGGUGAAAUGCGUAGAGAUCGGGAGGAACACCAGUGGCGAAGGCGGCUACCUGGACCAGCACUGACACUGAGGCACGAAAGCGUGGGGAGCAAACAGG
This 250-nucleotide ribosomal RNA is filed under the name uncultured bacterium. RNAcentral's name for it is "partial 16S ribosomal RNA". It matches the Rfam family "Bacterial small subunit ribosomal RNA", at positions 524 to 776 of the family's 1533-position model. The record is from RNAcentral.